GCAUCGAUGAAGAACGCAGCGAAAUGCGAUAAGUAGUGUGAAUUGCAGAAUUCAGUGAAUCAUCGAAUCUUUGAACGCACAUUGCGCCCUUUGGCAUUCCUUAGGGCAUGCCUGUUCGAGCGUCAUUUCAAACUUCAAGCCCACCUUCUUGGCUUGGUGUUGGGCGUCUGUCUCCCCGGGGACUCGCCUCAAAUGCAUUGGCAGCCGGCACGUUGGCUUCGAGCGCAGCAGAAACGCGCGCGGCGUCUGACGGUGCCUGGCUCUCCAGAAGCCUCCACCCCAAGUUUGACCUCGGAUCAGGUAGGGAUACCCGCUGAACUUAAGCAUAUCAAUAAGCGGAGGA
RNAcentral lists this unclassified non-coding RNA (343 nucleotides) under uncultured bacterium. RNAcentral describes it as "contains 16S-23S intergenic spacer region". The stretch from base 1 to 125 matches the Rfam family "5.8S ribosomal RNA", at positions 30 to 154 of the family's 154-position model. The record is from RNAcentral.